Molecule: ribosomal RNA, 494 nt
Filed under: uncultured bacterium
Lineage: Bacteria
Description: partial 16S ribosomal RNA
Rfam family: Bacterial small subunit ribosomal RNA
Source: RNAcentral
GACGAACGCUGGCGGCGCGCUUAACACAUGCAAGUCGAACGGAAAGGCCUGCUUUCCCUUGUGGAUUGCGGGUACUCGAGUGGCGAACGGGUGAGUAACACGUGAGUGAUCUGCCCCCAACUUGGGUAUAAGCCUGGGAAACUGGGUCUAAUUCCCGAUAGGACUGCAGGGUGGUGCCUGUGGUGGAAAACGAUUUUCUAGUGGUUGGGGAUGAGCUCGCGGCCUAUCAGCUUGUUGGUGGGGUAAUGGCCUACCAAGGCGGCGACGGGUAGCCGGCCUGAGAGGGUGGACGGCCACAUUGGGACUGAGAUACGGCCCAGACUCCUACGGGAGGCAGCAGUGGGGAAUAUUGCACAAUGGGCGGAAGCCUGAUGCAGCGACGCCGCGUGGGGGAUGACGGCCUUCGGGUUGUAAACUCCUUCCGACCGCGAGGAAGCCACCUGGUUGGAAGGUUGGUGACGGUAGUGGUAGAAGAAGCACCGGCUAACUACGUG